AGGAUUAGAUACCCGGGUAGUCCCAGCUGUAAACGAUGCAGACUAGGUGUUUGGACGGCCACGUGCCGUUCUAGUGCCGCAGGGAAGCUGUUAAGUCUGCCGCCUGGGGAGUACGAUCGCAAGAUUGAAACUUAAAGGAAUUGGCGGGGGAGCACCACAAGGGGUGAAGCUUGCGGUUUAAUUGGAGUCAACGCCGGAAAUCUCACCGGGAGCGACAGCAGAGUGAAGGCCAGAUUAAAGGUCUUGCCAGACAAGCUGAGAGGAGGUGCAUGGCCGUCGCCAGUUCGUGCCGUGAGGUGUCCUGUUAAGUCAGGCAACGAUCGAGACCCGCAUCCACUGUUGCUACUAGCUUUGUGCUGGGCACACUGUGGAGACCGCCACUGAUAAAGUGGAGGAAGGAGCGGGCCACGGCAGGUCAGUAUGCCCCGAAUCUCCCGGGCCACACGCGAGCUGCAAUGGCAGGUACAAUGAGUUCCGACCUCGAAAGGGGAAGGCAAUCUCGAAAGCCUGCCGUAGUUGGGAUCGAGGGUUGUAACCCAUCCUCGUGAACAUGGAAUCCCUAGUAAUCGCGUGUCAUCAGCGCGCGGUGAAUACGUCCCUGCUCCUUGCACACACCGCCCGUCGUUCCACCCGAGCGACUCUUGGGUGAGGCGCCGUCCUCUGUGGCGGCGUCGAAUCUAAGUUUCGUGAGGGGGGAAAAGUCGUAACAAG
RNAcentral lists this ribosomal RNA (711 nucleotides) under uncultured bacterium. RNAcentral describes it as "bacterial SSU rRNA". It matches the Rfam family "Archaeal small subunit ribosomal RNA", at positions 725 to 1442 of the family's 1478-position model. The record is from RNAcentral.